UCGUGUCGUGAGAUGUUCGGUUAAGUCCGGCAACGAGCGCAACCCACAUCCUUAGUUGCCAGCAGUUCGGCUGGGCACUCUAAGGAAACUGCCCGUGAUAAGCGGGAGGAAGGUGUGGAUGACGUCAAGUCCUCAUGGCCCUUACGGGUUGGGCUACACACGUGCUACAAUGGUAGUGACAAUGGGUUAAUCCCCAAAAACUAUCUCAGUUCGGAUUGUUCUCUGCAACUCGAGAGCAUGAAGUCGGAAUCGCUAGUAAUCGCGUAACAGCAUGACGCGGUGAAUACGUUCCCGGGCCUU
RNAcentral lists this ribosomal RNA (300 nucleotides) under uncultured bacterium. RNAcentral's name for it is "bacterial SSU rRNA". It matches the Rfam family "Bacterial small subunit ribosomal RNA", at positions 1060 to 1382 of the family's 1533-position model. The record is from RNAcentral.